This 64-nucleotide small RNA is filed under the name Klebsiella pneumoniae. Its description in RNAcentral is "partial RtT sRNA". It matches the Rfam family "RtT RNA", at positions 1 to 64 of the family's 130-position model. Rfam says of the family: This family represents a bacterial cis-regulatory element known as RtT RNA. The exact function of RtT is unknown although it is thought that it may be involved in changing the cellular response in relation to amino acid starvation. The record is from RNAcentral. Lineage: Bacteria; Pseudomonadati; Pseudomonadota; Gammaproteobacteria; Enterobacterales; Enterobacteriaceae.
UAUUCUGCCCUACAGGGAAGGAUGAGAAGCUUCGACUAAGGUUCGACUCGAGCGAAGCGAGAGA